This 492-nucleotide ribosomal RNA is filed under the name uncultured bacterium. Its description in RNAcentral is "partial 16S ribosomal RNA". It matches the Rfam family "Bacterial small subunit ribosomal RNA", at positions 29 to 507 of the family's 1533-position model. The record is from RNAcentral.
AGUGAACGCUGGCGGUAGGCCUAACACAUGCAAGUCGAACGGCAGCACAGUAAGAGCUUGCUCUUACGGGUGGCGAGUGGCGGACGGGUGAGGAAUACAUCGGAAUCUACUUUUUCGUGGGGGAUAACGUAGGGAAACUUACGCUAAUACCGCAUACGACCUAUGGGCGAAAGCAGGGGAUCUUCGGACCUUGCGCGAUUGAAUGAGCCGAUGUCGGAUUAGCUAGUUGGCGGGGUAAAGGCCCACCAAGGCGACGAUCCGUAGCUGGUCUGAGAGGAUGAUCAGCCACACUGGAACUGAGACACGGUCCAGACUCCUACGGGAGGCAGCAGUGGGGAAUAUUGGACAAUGGGCGCAAGCCUGAUCCAGCCAUACCGCGUGGGUGAAGAAGGCCUUCGGGUUGUAAAGCCCUUUUGUUGGGAAAGAAAAGCAGCAGGUUAAUACCCCGCUGUUCUGACGGUACCCAAAGAAUAAGCACCGGCUAACUUCGUG